CGCCGCGGUAAUACGGAGGGUGCAAGCGUUAAUCGGAAUUACUGGGCGUAAAGCGCACGCAGGCGGUCUGUCAAGUCAGAUGUGAAAUCCCCGGGCUUAACCUGGGAACUGCAUUUGAAACUGGCAGGCUAGAGUCUUGUAGAGGGGGGUAGAAUUCCAGGUGUAGCGGUGAAAUGCGUAGAGAUCUGGAGGAAUACCGGUGGCGAAGGCGGCCCCCUGGACAAAGACUGACGCUCAGGUGCGAAAGCGUGGGGAGCAAACAGGAUUAGAUACCCUGGUAGUCCACGCCGUAAACGAUGUCGACUUGGAGGUUGUGCCCUUGAGGUGUGGCUUCCGGAGCUAACGCGUUAAGUCGACCGCCUGGGGAGUACGGCCGCAAGGUUAAAACUCAAAUGAAUUGAC
RNAcentral lists this ribosomal RNA (402 nucleotides) under Erwinia sp. Its description in RNAcentral is "bacterial SSU rRNA". It matches the Rfam family "Bacterial small subunit ribosomal RNA", at positions 513 to 914 of the family's 1533-position model. Lineage: Bacteria; Pseudomonadati; Pseudomonadota; Gammaproteobacteria; Enterobacterales; Erwiniaceae. The record is from RNAcentral.